GUCUGUUUGUGAUGUGUGGAGCCAUCAUCUACACGGUGAUGGCUCCUGACGAAGGGGCGGGCACCUCCUACGGCUACGCCUACGUCUUGGCCUGGGUGGCUUUCCCUCUGUCCCUCAUCAGCGGCCUCAUCUACAUCAUCUUGAGGAAGAGGGAAUGAGAGUGGUGACGUAGAGAGGGGAUAGAGUGUCUGGGGUGGAUAUAGCAGACCCUAGCUCACCCAUAGUGCGCAAUCAAAUGGGUUAUUUUAUGAUAUCAGAGAACGCCGAUCGCGGUCGGCAACCUCUACUCUAUUUCCGCAAAACUGCAUUAAAGUCGGAACAUUGACGUCAUUGAUUGGGAAUUCGCGUUCUGUGACGGUCCGAAGCCGAAUUACGAUGCUAAUGAUCCAACUUUUCCGAGUUUUUUUUCGUGGAAACGCAGUAGAGGUUGCGUUCCGCGAUGGAGCGGAACUCUCCUAUAUAUAAAAAGUUUAAAGUUAAAAUACAGUUCAAAUAAAGUGCCUACUGCCCACAGACCAUCUAGACUAGCGUCCAAACAUCGGAGAACAAGUGCAAUGCAGUCGCUUCGUAGUAAAAUGCCAAUUGAGACGUCGGGUUGUCAUUAUUUUUGUAAACUAUCACUUGAUCCCAAAACAAAUUAUGCCGGAAAAAAAAAGAAAACAUGACAAACUCACAUCCAUGCCUCGUCUCAUUUGAAAGCCGUAUUCGUCCAUAGCAACACUGCGGGAAGUUUAAGGGUGUCCUCCAUAGCAACAGCGCGGGAUGUUGUAGGGUGUGGCCAUUUUUUAUUCGGUUUAAAACUGUGGAUCAUUCGCGUCGACCCCACCCUGCCUGACAACAUCACAGGAACCCAAAACAAACCCAAACAACUGCCAUGCCGCGGUGCAGAGAUGUACAUAGUGUCUGUGGUUUUUAGACAUAUUUAUAACAUUCUUUUUUUUACAUACCUUUUGUACAUAGUGUUUUCAAGUUAAUUCCAUAUUGCUCAUGACUGAUGGCUCAUGAAGACUCAUACAGCUGCACCAAAGAGAAAUACAGAUACAGCUGAAGUGUUAUGCUUUUCACUGGGAUUUAUUUCUAGUUUGCCCGCAGUCAUGUCAGAUUGUUACUCCCUUUGUAUACUGUGUCUUGACUUGGAAUAUCUGUGUUAAUGAAGGAAUAGGACAAUCCUCUACAUCCUCAGUGGAUGGGACGUGUUUAUAAACUAAUGAAGACAUUCUGAAAUAUCAUUCUAUUUUGAUGUGCCAAAUAGUUUUUUUUUGUAUUUCCAUAUUUUUGGUUUUCUAUGUUUUCUAGUUUUGGAAAAUGGUGCUUUCUAAAAAAACCUACCAUUCUUGAAUUGUAUAGCAUACUUUGUGUUUCAAUUUUAACAUUGUUAGUAACUCUCAUGAUGUGUGUUUGAAAUUCUUUGUACAAAUAAACAAUUUCUUUUUCAGUGUAAUUCUAAAUAAAACGUAUUAAGUAAA
This is an RNA transcript of Gadus morhua (Atlantic cod), 1466 nucleotides long. It is a transcript of the gene named peripheral myelin protein 22 pseudogene, with no coding region annotated. The record is from RefSeq and is a predicted model, not a curated record. NCBI's taxonomy places the organism in Eukaryota, Metazoa, Chordata, Actinopteri, Gadiformes, Gadidae.